This 498-nucleotide ribosomal RNA is filed under the name Ganoderma casuarinicola. RNAcentral's name for it is "SSU rRNA". It matches the Rfam family "Bacterial small subunit ribosomal RNA", at positions 415 to 948 of the family's 1533-position model. Lineage: Eukaryota; Fungi; Basidiomycota; Agaricomycetes; Polyporales; Polyporaceae. The record is from RNAcentral.
UCAUAGAAUUUUUUCAAAUUCAUGAUGUCGUAAGGGAAAAUAAUGAUAAUACCUUACUAUGAGUGUCGUCCAAAUCUGGUGCCAGAAGACUCGGUAAGACCAGAGACGCAAACGUUAAUCAUCAUAAACAGGCGUAAAGGGUUUGUAGGCAGCUUUUAUAAAAAUAUCAAAAACUAAACUAAAAGCUAGAAUCAAAAAGAGGUUAUAGUGUAUAACGCCUAGAGGAGGGCUGAUAUCCAUAGAUCCUAGGCAGAAUACUCAGGGCGAAGGCCACUCUCCACUAAUGAUUGACGCUGAGAAACGAAGGUUAGGGUAGGAAAUAGGAUUAGAUACCCCGGUACUCCUUUCUGUAAACGAUGAAUGGUAGUCAUUAGUUAAAUUAAAGUAACUAGAGGCGAAGUUAACACAAUAACCAUUCCGCCUUGUGAGUACUACUGCAAAGUAGAAAACAAAAAAAUUAGUCGGUCUCGAAGCAAACGGAGUGAAGCAUGUUAUUUA